GUGGGAUGGCUUGUCGCUUGACAUGCUGUAAUGGCGGUCAAGAGGAAAGUCUGGGCAACACAGAGCAUCACACUUCUUAACGGGAAGCUAUGGGCGACCGUGGGGUUAAGGUGACAGAAAACAACCGCCAGUUGCUGGCAAGGGUGAAAAGGUGGGGUAAGAGCCCACCGGACACGGUGGCGACACCGCGUGCCGCACUACCUGUGAGUUGCCAGGUCAAGUAUACCGGUAUCUAAGGGCUGCUCAUCCAUUGUCGGGGGUGUAGACCGCUAUAUCAGUGCAGCAAUGUACUGGACAGAUAAAUGACAGGCGGCAGGCGCGUCCAGCUACAUAACCCGGCAUAUAGUCCCACUGC
Molecule: RNase P RNA, 355 nt
Filed under: bovine gut metagenome
Description: Bacterial RNase P class A
Rfam family: Bacterial RNase P class A
About the family: Ribonuclease P (RNase P) is a ubiquitous endoribonuclease, found in archaea, bacteria and eukarya as well as chloroplasts and mitochondria.
Source: RNAcentral